CUCUAUAGGCAAAACCUGGGCUGAUGAAGCAGCUAGGUCUGCAGCCCUCUAAGACCCAGAUCUACCUCACCCACCACAGGGAGUUCAUACACUACAACCCACGUCCUCACAGUCACCUCCUGACACUCGGCAAAUUCUGCCUUAUUUACACCAGCUCCUGCGCCCUAACACUGUUGUUACAGGACCACCAGCCGGAAGCCAGGGAUCUAUAGACACAAAGACCAACAAACAUUUGUGCCUCCUGAGUAAAGGAUUCUUGGAAGUUCCAGGGAGCUGAAUUGGACCCAUUCAAACAGGUGGGAUUCGCUCCAAAUAAAUAUUAUUCAACCUCUCCACUCUCCACUGGUCCCUGGAUUCCCUUCCCUCAUCUUGGGACUCCCUGGGGAACCCCUCCCUCAUCUUAAAAUCCUCCCCUCAAGUACCAGGACCUAAGAAUUUUUUUUUUUUACCUAACCUCUACUCUGCUAAGAUUCUUCCAGGUCUACAGAGAUGCCAGAGUUCCAAACAGCCAGGACUGCGAUGGAGUAACCACCUAUUCCAGGACGUGGCAGCACUCCAGCUUUCUCAGGUCCCCCAAAAGAUGGUCAAUGUCCCCCAGAUCAGUAGGAAGCAGUCUUGAGAACUCAACACCCUUAUUCCCUAACUUGCCACACCCAACUCCCCACCCUUUUUUUAAUAAUAAGAGGUGAGAUUGUUGGAACAUCAUGCUGACCCGCCCCCGAUGAUGGGCGGGGUUAAGCACAGUGAUGUGGCCACCUCAUCGCUAUGUCACUUGUUAUGGGGCUCAGUGUGCUUGUGCGAGCUUCCCCUUUUAAAUUCCUGUCCUUCAUCUUCCCCCAACUGGUCAACC
Molecule: long non-coding RNA, 850 nt
Organism: Mesocricetus auratus (golden hamster)
Lineage: Eukaryota; Metazoa; Chordata; Mammalia; Rodentia; Cricetidae
Exons: 3
Source: RefSeq, a predicted model, not a curated record